CCUACGGGGGGCAGCAGUGGGGAAUAUUGCACAAUGGGGGAAACCCUGAUGCAGCGACGCCGCGUGAGUGAAGAAGUAUUUCGGUAUGUAAAGCUCUAUCAGCAGGGAAGAAAUAGCGACCUUUGGGUCGCCAGACGGUACCUGAUUAAGAAGCCCCGGCUAACUACGUGCCAGCAGCCGCGGUAAUACGUAGGGGGCAAGCGUUAUCCGGAUUUACUGGGUGGAAAGGGAGCGUAGACGGCAGCGCAAGUCUGAGGUGAAAUGGAGGGGCUUAACCCCGGAACUGCUUUGGAAACUGUGCAGCUAGAGUGCAGGAGAGGUAAGUGGAAUUCCUGGUGUAGCGGUGAAAUGCGUAGAUAUUAGGCGGAACACCAGUGGCGAAGGCAGCAUACCGGCGCUCAACUGACGCUGAGGCACGAAAGCGUGGGGAUCGAACAGGAUUAGAUACCCCGGUAGUC
This 458-nucleotide ribosomal RNA is filed under the name uncultured bacterium. RNAcentral's name for it is "partial 16S ribosomal RNA". It matches the Rfam family "Bacterial small subunit ribosomal RNA", at positions 338 to 795 of the family's 1533-position model. The record is from RNAcentral.